Molecule: long non-coding RNA, 386 nt
Organism: Cyprinus carpio (common carp)
Lineage: Eukaryota; Metazoa; Chordata; Actinopteri; Cypriniformes; Cyprinidae
Source: Ensembl
ACGCGGGUACCUGCGAAAGAAUCCCUUGUUCUUCUUUUUUGCUCCUUAUAACUCUGCCAGAAGAAUCCCUCAUCUGUGGUUCCUGUUUGAACAACACACAGAAAAAGACAUUGUUAGAGCGCUCUCAAAAGGAAGAGAUCUUGAAGCCCCCUGCUGAUUGUAUGGGGUGGAUUCUGAAUUCUCAACCCUCACGUCCCCUCAGGGCCGUCAGGACCGCCACCAUCAGCCCAGCUCUGGGAGAGGGAAGAAUGGGAUGAAUUUUGAACCCUGAGCUUUGGGGCAUCCGGUCGAGGCCUGGACACUAAUACUCAUGGCUUUCCGAGAGAUUUCCUGAACCUGCUGGCCCACGCUGUGAAUAAAGAUGCGGAAAAUUAGUCUUGGCUUCA